Molecule: non-coding RNA, 2695 nt
Organism: Vicugna pacos (alpaca)
Lineage: Eukaryota; Metazoa; Chordata; Mammalia; Artiodactyla; Camelidae
Source: RefSeq, a predicted model, not a curated record
GUGAGGGGGCCGAUUUGACUGAGAAUCCCAUGCCCUGCCUCUUGGGCUCAGAACCACGUUGCUCUGGGUCCUUCCCGGCACCUGGGAGGAGAGGGUUGGAAGAAGUCCACAUCUGGUGAUUAUUUUCAUAUUCUAAUUUUUAACUUAUCCAAAUAUAGCAAGGAUGUUCUUUUUCCCCAUAGUCAACUUUCAAGCCCUCAUCCCUCUUGGGGAAGAGAUCUUUGACAAAGACAUCCAAAAGAGACUUUUUUUUUUUUUGCAAACAAUACGUAUCAAAGUUACACUGCUUGAGGAGGCCAACCUGGCAAGAGAGGGUUGAUAGACGCCCCUUUCUGAGGCUCCCAGGAAACUACAGUCCCCUAAGCCAUGCAGGGGUCUUGGAGUUUUCCCUGCAGAUGGAACUGGGCUGCGGGCAGGUGGAGGGAGGCCUGGGUCGGUCCCAGAAGUUGGAUGCCGGGUUGUGGGUGAAAGAGGGAGGUGGCUAUAUCCACACUGACCUCGGCCAUCAUGCAACUGUUUUUUUUCUUAUCAAAUACUUUUGAUUGAUCCUACACUCAGAAAUACACUUCUCUAGCAUCAUUCUUAAUGGAAUUCCAUGGGAUAAAGUCACCCUUUUAAAUUUAAAUUUUUAACUCCAUAGCUUGUCCUUCUAGGACACUUGCAGUGGGUGCCUCAGACCCUCUCUGUGUGGUUUGCUGAGCUGGGAAAUGGCCCCUGAGAAGGAAGCAGAGGCAGACUGGACUGAUAUAAGUCCUUGCUCCCAGGGGUCGAUUUUGGCCCCAGCCCCGGCUCCCCACAGUGGGGUGGGUCCCAGGCGCCCCUAUUUGCAGUCACGAUACACACUCGGCGUUUCAGCCAACACACACAAUUAUACUGUCCUUUAAUUAGAACACUCUUUUUAUACCAGGGAAAACCCAGCUGCUUGUCAACGAAAACAUAUUUGUACCAUGGCCUUAAACACACACACACAUAAAUUGCCAAUUAUUCCCCAUUCAGAGACUCUGGCAAGACACAGGGGCGAGCUGUUUGCUUUCCCUUAGGCCAAAUUAAGACUCGCCUUUCAUGGCAACUUAUUUUUGGGAGUAAUUUUCCACCUCAUUUAAUUAGGCUAAUUGAUUCAGCAGUUCUGUGAAGGGGCACCGCAUCCCUGGGUGCUUUGGGAAAAUUAUUCCUGUGCUCUUUGGACUCCCUUGGAGCAACGACUUGAUUAACUUUCCUGUUUUCAAGCUCAGGUCAGUCCAGACCCUGUGCAUCUGACUUUGCCGCCCACGGUAAGUAUGUGUGGAGAGCCUCUAAUUUGCCGAGACCUUUGAAGAGAGCUGGGUGCUGAGCCUGGGGGUGAGCCUGUCCAAGGAGCAAGAGAGAGUGCUGUCAGAACUGAAUCUGGGGAGAUAGUGAACUGAGCGGAUUUCAGUGCCACUAAGAAUUGUCCUUCUCUUGCACUAUUGUUUGGAUUUUAUAGGAUCCAUUCUGUAGGCCAUGCUCUACAACAUCUAGUUCAUGGAUUGUUAUGAGUGAUUUUUAAGAAAAAUAAAUAAGGAAGAAGUACUUAGACCUUGUUAAAAUUGCAAAUGAGUGUCUACCCUCUUUUCCAGGUUCUCCUAUCCCCCAACCCCUUUGACUCCCCGUCUGAUGGGCAUUUUUAUACGGAAAAGAAUACAGAUCUUCCUCUCAAAAAAUUGUUUUUUGAUUUUCUAUGUGUCUCAGGGAGUGUUAAGCAUAAAAGGGUGGCAACACAAAGGAGAAGGACCACUUAACAUCCAAAGUGCGUUGAGGCUGCACUGUGAUCAGGCACAGCCCUUGACUGUACAUGAAUCCAAAAUAUGUCUUCAUUCACUUAAUCCAUAUUCCAAUCUUAUGAGCAAAGGACAGCGGUUACCCCCAUGCACAGAUGAGGAAACUGGGGCACGAGAGGUUAAGGGGCCAGCCCAAAGUUACACACCUGGCCAGCGUGGAGGCAGGACUCAAACACACUGCUUGUCACCACUGUGCUAGGACAUCCCCGUGGGUGCAGAAAAACCAUGACCCAUUCGUAAGCUACGAGGGAGCGACAGAGGUUCCACUUCUGCAUUGAUAUGUGAUAAUUCAGUGCGUUGCAUAAACGUGGCUCCAAUGUGCCCUUUUGCCAACCUCAAAGCAAGGGUGGUCAGGCCACCCAGGGCAAUGGGCCAUGAAAUUCUUCAUGCUCUGGGAUUUUUGUUUUCUUGAAACUUUGACACAGAGCUUUCAUUGAGAAGUAGAAACAAAGAAUGAAGCGGUGGUUCCGAGCACCACAAGUAGCUAGACCCUCGUGGGGGAGCAGUGUGAGAACACGGAAAGCACCCUGGGGUGACUCAAGGAGCUGCCCUUUAGCUGACGAGAGGCUUACUGUAAACUGUGGAGGUAAAGGGAAUUUCAAGGGAGGGAAAAUGAGCUGGCAGAAAAAACAUCCUUUCUGAACGCAUCCUAGUUUCUAGUCCAACUUGUCUCAAAGGCCAUCCGGGACCAGCAACCCUGCCUAACCCAAGCAUUUUCACUCCGUCUGACACUGAACUGAGAGCUGAAAAAUCACCUGGGGGAGAAAAGUUGUUCGGAAUAAUGAGAAAGCAUCGGGCCAAAUGUGGCCCAAACUUCACCAUUUCUUAGUUUCAAGUCGAAUAUAAACCUUUGGGGGCUCAGCCUUUUUCCUCUUGGCAAACCACAACAUCCUAUUUCU